UAAGGCCCCUAAGUGUGCGCUUAGUGGGAAAGGAUGUGGGAUCGCCGAGACAACCAGGAGGUUGGCUUAGAAGCAGCCAUCCUUGAAAGAGUGCGUAAUAGCUCACUGGUCAAGUGGUCCUGCGCCGACAAUGUAGCGGGGCUGAAGCGCACCGCCGAAGCCAUGCCAUACGUGUUGUAAGACACGGAUGGGUAGGGGAGCGUCCUGCAUGCGGUGAAGCGCCGGAGUGAUCCUGGUGUGGAGUGUGUGGGAGUGAGAAUGCAGGCAUGAGUAGCGAGUGCAGAGUGAGAAUCUCUGCCGCCGGAUGACCAAGGGUUCCUGGGGAAGGUUCGUCCGCCCAGGGUGAGUCGGGGCCUAAGGCGAGGCCGACAGGCGUAGUCGAUGGAUAACGGGUUGAUAUUCCCGUACCCGUGUUGAUGCGUCCAUAGCGAAACCUUUGAUACUAACCAUCCUGGUGUGUGUUGAUCCUUCGGGUGAGAUGCGUGCUGGCAUGGGACCUGAUGGGGCGGUAGUUAAGUGAUGGGGUGACGCAGGAGGGUAGCUCUGCCAGUGAGUGGUAGUACUGGUGUAAGCCUGUAGCCCGGUGUGUAGGUAAAUCCGCAUGCCAUAUGGGUGAGGGGUGAUGCGUAGCCGUUGUGGCGAUGUGAGUGAUCCCAUGCUGUCGAGAAAAGCCUCUAGCGAGUGUCUUCACGGCCCGUACCCGAAACCGACACAGGUGGUCAGGUAGAGAAUACCGAGGCGGUCGGGUGAACUGUGGUUAAGGAACUCGGCAAAUUGCCCCCGUAACUUUGGGAGAAGGGGGGCCACUGCUGGUGAACAUCCUUGCGGUGGGAGCUGGUGGUGGUCGCAGAGGCCAGGGAGAAGCGACUGUUUACUAAAAACACAGGUCCAUGCGAAGCCGUAAGGCGAUGUAUAUGGACUGACGCCUGCCCGGUGCUGGAACGUUAAGAGGACCCGUGAACCCGUAAGGGUGUAGCGGAGAAUUUAAGCGCCAGUAAACGGCGGUGGUAACUAUAACCAUCCUAAGGUAGCGAAAUUCCUUGUCGGGUAAGUUCCGACCUGCACGAAUGGCGUAACGACUUCUCCGCUGUCUCGACCACAGGCCCGGUGAAAUUGCAGUACGAGUAAAGAUGCUCGUUUCGCGCGGCAGGACGGAAAGACCCCGGGACCUUUACUAUAGCUUGGUAUUGGUGUUUGGUUCGGCUUGUGUAGGAUAGGUGGGAGACUGUGAAGCAUUCACGCUAGUGGGUGUGGAGUCGUUGGUGAAAUACCACUCUGGUCGUUCCGGGCAUCUAACUCGGGUCCGUGAUCCGGAUCGGGGACAGUGCCUGGUGGGUAGUUUAACUGGGGCGGUUGCCUCCUAAAGAGUAACGGAGGCGCCCAAAGGUUCCCUCAGCCUGGUUGGCAAUCAGGUGUUGAGUGUAAGUGUAUAAGGGAGCUUGACUGUGAGACUGACGGGUCGAGCAGGUGCGAAAGCAGGGACUAGUGAUCCGGCACUGGCUGGUGGAAGCGGUGUCGCUCAACGGAUAAAAGGUACCCCGGGGAUAACAGGCUGAUCUUGCCCAAGAGUCCAUAUCGACGGCAUGGUUUGGCACCUCGAUGUCGGCUCGUCGCAUCCUGGGGCUGGAGUUGGUCCCAAGGGUUGGGCUGUUCGCCCAUUAAAGCGGCACGCGAGCUGGGUUUAGAACGUCGUGAGACAGUUCGGUCCCUAUCCGCCGCGCGCGUAGGAGACUUGCGGAAGGCUGUCCCUAGUACGAGAGGACCGGGACGGACGAACCUCUGGUGUGCCAGUCGUUCUGCCAAGAGCGUGGCUGGUUGGCUAUGUUCGGGAGGGAUAACCGCUGAAAGCAUCUAAGCGGGAAGCCUGUUCCUAGAUGAGGUCUCCCACCCGUUUGUGGGUUAAGGCCCCCAAGAGAUGAUUGGGUUGACAGGCCAGAUAUGGAAGCACGGUAACGUGUGGAGUUGACUGGUGCUGAUAGGCCGAGGACUUGCUCAC
Molecule: ribosomal RNA, 1996 nt
Filed under: Saccharopolyspora spinosa
Lineage: Bacteria; Bacillati; Actinomycetota; Actinomycetes; Pseudonocardiales; Pseudonocardiaceae
Description: bacterial LSU rRNA
Rfam family: Bacterial large subunit ribosomal RNA
Source: RNAcentral